RNAcentral lists this ribosomal RNA (468 nucleotides) under uncultured bacterium. Its description in RNAcentral is "partial 16S ribosomal RNA". It matches the Rfam family "Bacterial small subunit ribosomal RNA", at positions 28 to 507 of the family's 1533-position model. The record is from RNAcentral.
GACGAACGCUGGCGGCGUGCUUAACACAUGCAAGUCGAACGGAAAGGCCCUGCUUUUGUGGGGUGCUCGAGUGGCGAACGGGUGAGUAACACGUGAGUAACCUGCCCUUGACUUUGGGAUAACUUCAGGAAACUGGGGCUAAUACCGGAUAGGAGCUCCUGCUGCAUGGUGGGGGUUGGAAAGUUUCGGCGGUUGGGGAUGGACUCGCGGCUUAUCAGCUUGUUGGUGGGGUAGUGGCUUACCAAGGCUUUGACGGGUAGCCGGCCUGAGAGGGUGACCGGCCACAUUGGGACUGAGAUACGGCCCGAACUCCUACGGGAGGCAGCAGUGGGGAAUAUUGCACAAUGGGCGGAAGCGUGAUGCAGCAACGACGCGUGCAGGAUAACGGCCUUCGGGUUGUAAACCGCUUUCUCCUGUGACGAAGCGUGAGUGACGGUAAUGUGUAAAGAAGCACCGGCUAACUACGUG